RNAcentral lists this small nuclear RNA (90 nucleotides) under Echinops telfairi (small Madagascar hedgehog). Lineage: Eukaryota; Metazoa; Chordata; Mammalia; Afrosoricida; Tenrecidae. The record is from RNAcentral.
GUGCUUGCUUUAGCAACACAUAUGAGACAGAGAUUAGCAAGACUCCUCAGCCAAGAUGACAUUCAAAUUCAUGAAGCAUUCCAUAUUUUU